This 253-nucleotide ribosomal RNA is filed under the name uncultured bacterium. RNAcentral's name for it is "partial 16S ribosomal RNA". It matches the Rfam family "Bacterial small subunit ribosomal RNA", at positions 524 to 776 of the family's 1533-position model. The record is from RNAcentral.
UACGGGGGGGGCAAGCGUUGUUCGGAAUUACUGGGCGUAAAGGGCUCGUAGGCGGCCAACCAAGUCGGAUGUGAAAUCCCCAGGCUUAACCUGGGAACUGCAUCCGAUACUGGAUGGCUUGAAUCCGGGAGAGGGAUGCAGAAUUCCAGGUGUAGCGGUGAAAUGCGUAGAUAUCUGGAGGAAUACCGGUGGCGAAGGCGGCAUCCUGGACCGGCAUUGACGCUGAGGAGCGAAAGCUAGGGGAGCAAACGGG